AGUGAAUUUGGUGAGGAGUCGAUUGAGAGGAUUAAAUCCUCUCAAAGAGGCUGAAUACUACGUGAGGCUGGCUAAAGACAAGGAAAGCAUCACUUGGAAAUAUAUCAGUCAAACUAAAGGACGAGGUGUGUUUGCAAAAGACCCUAUUACAAAAGGGUCAUUCAUUGUUGAAUACCGUGGUGUUUUAAGCAAGAUAACGCACUCUUUUGAACCAACAACUGAAUACACAUAUAUUUUUAAGCACAAUGGAAAUGAAUACUGCAUUGAUGCAUCAGCAGAGGAUGGAUCGCUUGGAAGGCUACUUAAUGAUGAUACAAAGCCAAAUUCCAAGAUGAAGAAAAUUGUGCUGGAUGGUGUACCUCAUCUUUGUUUAUUCGCUAUUACUGACAUAAAUGAAGGUCAAGAAAUUACUUACGACUACGGAGGAGAUGACUUGCCAUGGCGUUCUAAACGCAGUAUA
Paramisgurnus dabryanus is the source of this 460-nucleotide long non-coding RNA. RefSeq lists it as uncharacterized. The record is from RefSeq and is a predicted model, not a curated record. Lineage: Eukaryota; Metazoa; Chordata; Actinopteri; Cypriniformes; Cobitidae.